Molecule: ribosomal RNA, 442 nt
Filed under: uncultured Planctomycetaceae bacterium
Lineage: Bacteria; Pseudomonadati; Planctomycetota; Planctomycetia; Planctomycetales; Planctomycetaceae
Description: bacterial SSU rRNA
Rfam family: Bacterial small subunit ribosomal RNA
Source: RNAcentral
CCUACGGGUGGCUGCAGUCGAGAAUCUUCCGCAAUGGGGGAAACCCUGACGGAGCGACGCCGCGUGCGGGAUGAAGGCCUUCGGGUUGUAAACCGCUGUCGAGGGGAAUCAAAUUUUGAGUGAACCCUGGAGGAAGCACCGGCUAAACUCGUGCCAGCAGCCGCGGUAAUACGAGUGGUGCAAACGUUAUUCGGAAUCACUGGGCUUAAAGGGUGCGUAGGCGGCUGCACAAGUCAGGUGUGAAAUCCCUCGGCUCAACCGAGGAACUGCGCUUGAAACUGUGCGGCUUGAGGGAGACAGAGGUGAGCGGAACUGAUGGUGGAGCGGUGAAAUGCGUUGAUAUCAUCAGGAACACCGGUGGCGAAAGCGGCUCACUGGGUCUUUUCUGACGCUGAGGCACGAAAGCUAGGGGAGCAAACGGGAUUAGAUACCCCAGUAGUCC